RNAcentral lists this ribosomal RNA (492 nucleotides) under uncultured bacterium. Its description in RNAcentral is "partial 16S ribosomal RNA". It matches the Rfam family "Bacterial small subunit ribosomal RNA", at positions 29 to 507 of the family's 1533-position model. The record is from RNAcentral.
AGUGAACGCUGGCGGUAGGCCUAACACAUGCAAGUCGAACGGCAGCACAGUAAGAGCUUGCUCUUACGGGUGGCGAGUGGCGGACGGGUGAGGAAUACAUCGGAAUCUACUUUUUCGUGGGGGAUAACGUAGGGAAACUUACGCUAAUACCGCAUACGACCUACGGGUGAAAGCAGGGGAUCUUCGGACCUUGCGCGAUUGAAUGAGCCGAUGUCGGAUUAGCUAGUUGGCGGGGUAAAGGCCCACCAAGGCGACGAUCCGUAGCUGGUCUGAGAGGAUGAUCAGCCACACUGGAACUGAGACACGGUCCAGACUCCUACGGGAGGCAGCGAUGGGGAAUAUUGGACAAUGGGCGCAAGCCUGAUCCAGCCAUACCGCGUGGGUGAAGAAGGCCUUCGGGUUGUAAAGCCCUUUUGUUGGGAAAGAAAAGCAGCAGGUUAAUACCCCGCUGUUCUGACGGUACCCAAAGAGUAAGCACCGGCUAACUUCGUG